RNAcentral lists this ribosomal RNA (479 nucleotides) under uncultured bacterium. RNAcentral's name for it is "bacterial SSU rRNA". It matches the Rfam family "Bacterial small subunit ribosomal RNA", at positions 153 to 628 of the family's 1533-position model. The record is from RNAcentral.
GAAAUCCGGAUUAAUACCCCAUAAUGCAGGGGUACCUCAUGGUACUAUUUGCUAAAGAUUUAUCGGUUGUGGAUGGGCAUGCGUCUGAUUAGUUUGUUGGUGAGGUAACGGCUCACCAAGACCACGAUCAGUAGGGGGUCUGAGAGGAUGAUCCCCCACACUGGCACUGAGAUACGGGCCAGACUCCUACGGGAGGCAGCAGUAGGGAAUAUUGGGCAAUGGGCGAAAGCCUGACCCAGCCAUGCCGCGUGAAGGAUGAAGGCCUUCUGGGUUGUAAACUUCUUUUAUACAGGAAGAAAAAGGUCAUGCGUGACCAAUUGACGGUACUGUAUGAAUAAGCACCGGCUAACUCCGUGCCAGCAGCCGCGGUAAUACGGAGGGUGCAAGCGUUGUCCGGAUUUAUUGGGGUUUAAGGGGUGCGUAGGCGGUGCGUUAAGUCAGUGGUGAAAUCUCUCGGNCUCAACCGAGAAACUGCCAUU